AUGGAUGUUCAAUCCAGGUCACAGACAAGAUUGGCUGAUCUUUCGGGCACUCCUAACCAGAUAAGCAGAGCUGAGCAAUUGAUAAGUGAUGUUCUUGCAGAGGUUGAUGCUAACUCAUUUGGCACUAUCUCUAAUUGGAAGUACAAUGCACCUCAACCUAGUGUUGAGCAAUUCCAGAUGCAAAUUGCUAACAAGUGCGAUGGUGUGGUGGCUCGUGCGGCAUGCGGUGGCCUCAGAAGGUGGGCGCCAACACUUGCAGCUUGUGCACAAUGGCAACUCCACGCAUCUCCUGCGCCAGGAGCAAGGAUGCUGAGGCGGUUCAGAUGGGUUGGAGCACAAGGCAGCGCUCACGUCGCCAUGGGGUUGAGCUGCACGGGAGGGGGAUAA
RNAcentral lists this ribosomal RNA (387 nucleotides) under Triticum aestivum (bread wheat). Its description in RNAcentral is "partial small subunit ribosomal RNA". Lineage: Eukaryota; Viridiplantae; Streptophyta; Magnoliopsida; Poales; Poaceae. The record is from RNAcentral.